CCUACGGGAUGCAGCAGUGAGGAAUAUUGGUCAAUGGCCGGAAGGCUGAACCAGCCAAGCCGCGUGAAGGACGAAGGUGCCAAGCAUUGUAAACUUCUUUUGUCAAGGGACAAAAUCAGGCUCGAGAGCCUGACCGAGGGUACUUGAAGAAAAAGCAUCGGCUAACUCCGUGCCAGCAGCCGCGGUAAUACGGAGGAUGCGAGCGUUAUCCGGAUUUAUGGGGUUUAAAGGGUGCGUAGGCGGACUGUUAAGUCGGCGGUAAAAGCCCGGGGCUCAACCCCGGCGAGCCGUUGAAACUGGCUUUCUUGAGAUGUCGAGAGGUAUGCGGAAUGCGCAGUGUAGCGGUGAAAUGCUUAGAUAUUGCGCAGAACUCCGAUUGCGAAGGCAGCAUACCGGCGGCGAUCUGACGCUGAGGCACGAAAGCGUGGGUAUCGAACAGGAUUAGAUACCCUUGUAGUC
Molecule: ribosomal RNA, 459 nt
Filed under: uncultured bacterium
Lineage: Bacteria
Description: partial 16S ribosomal RNA
Rfam family: Bacterial small subunit ribosomal RNA
Source: RNAcentral